RNAcentral lists this ribosomal RNA (190 nucleotides) under uncultured Elizabethkingia sp. RNAcentral describes it as "partial 16S rRNA". It matches the Rfam family "Bacterial small subunit ribosomal RNA", at positions 337 to 524 of the family's 1533-position model. The record is from RNAcentral. Lineage: Bacteria; Pseudomonadati; Bacteroidota; Flavobacteriia; Flavobacteriales; Weeksellaceae.
UCCUACGGGAGGCAGCAGUGGGGAAUAUUGCACAAUGGGCGCAAGCCUGAUCCAGCCAUCCCGCGUGCAGGAAGACGGCCCUAUGGGUUGUAAACUGCUUUUAUCUGGGGAUAAACCUACUUACGUGUAAGUAGCUGAAGGUACCAGAAGAAUAAGCACCGGCUAACUCCGUGCCAGCAGCCGCGGUAAU